Molecule: long non-coding RNA, 381 nt
Filed under: Panax ginseng (ginseng)
Lineage: Eukaryota; Viridiplantae; Streptophyta; Magnoliopsida; Apiales; Araliaceae
Description: long non-coding RNA (PGIN_LNC013950)
Source: RNAcentral
GAGGACGUACGCUGAACCAGAUUCCAUCGGUGCCUUAACGUUGGGUAAUUGCGCAUUCGUUGUGGCAUCGGUGAACUCGAGUUGCCAGUUCGGUUUACUGACGUCUUCCUUCCCCGUUUCCAAAGAGAAGGCAGCUUUCCUAAGGUUUCCCCCGGGUGAAUUCGGUGUCUGGGCAGCCCCUUCGGAUUCAAGGCAGAUGUUAUUUUGCCAUUUUUUAUAUUACGCCAGGUGGAGUCCCUUUGACACCCAGCCUAACUUCUCUAUUUCAAGCUCAGGGGAGAGAGUGAGUGCCCGAGGGCUUCCUGCUUUUCUCUCGCAUUCCAGCCUUCGUGUUCUAAGGAAUAGUCACAAACGGCUCGAACUAAAGGGUCCAUGGAGCAG